CCUACGGGCGGCAGCAGUGAGGAAUAUUGGUCAAUGGACGGGAGUCUGAACCAGCCAUGCCGCGUGAAGGAUGACGGCUCUAUGAGUUGUAAACUGCUUUUAUAAAAGAGUAAAACUAAACACGUGUACUUUGUUGAAUGUACUUUAUGAAUAAGGAUCGGCUAACUCCGUGCCAGCAGCCGCGGUAAUACGGAGGAUCCGAGCGUUAUCCGGAUUUAUUGGGUUUAAAGGGUGCGUAGAUGGAUUGUUAAGUUAGUUGUGAAAGUUUGGGGCUCAACCGUGGAAUUGCAAGUGAUACUGGCAGUCUUGAGGACAGUUGAGGUAGGCGGAAUGCGUGGUGUAGCGGUGAAAUGCUUAGAUAUCACGAAGAACCCCGAUUGCGAAGGCAGCUUACUAAACUGUGACUGACAUUGAGGCUCGAAAGUGUGGGGAUCAAACAGGAUUAGAUACCCUUGUAGUC
Molecule: ribosomal RNA, 460 nt
Filed under: uncultured bacterium
Lineage: Bacteria
Description: partial 16S ribosomal RNA
Rfam family: Bacterial small subunit ribosomal RNA
Source: RNAcentral